CCGCAGACGGGACACAGAGCCUGCUUCAAAAAUUCUUUCGGACCCCGAUAGAGGGACCUGAAUUUACUCGCUUGCAUCAGUCUCUUCAGAGUGAGGGGGAUGCUUAAUGGGAUCUGUUUGGCCAAUGAUUACAUUUCUAAAGAUGAACUGCUACACACGCGAGCCGCUGCUGUUCUGUACAAUAGUCUAAUACCGGCCAAAGAGCGCCCAGAUGCCGCCUGGAUCAAAAGACUGUUCCAGGAAGCAGUUGAGGUGGAAUAUUCCUUUAUUGCUGCCAAGAGCAAGAACGUGACGCUGGUGGUUCCUGGUGAAAUUAAAAAGUUUUUACAAGCCACCUGUGAUAGAAUUUUGCAGAGUAUUGGGGUGGAGCCAAUCUAUGGCUCCCACGCCCCAGUCACGUGUCCUCUGAGCUACAACGGCUGCAUAAAAAGUGUUAACUUUUUUGAGAGGGAGGGAACUGAUUACUCAACCAAGGUGACUAAUGAUUUGUAAGCAGCGCAGUUUGGAAAGUGAUGUGUGUGCUCUCAUUCCACCCUAUUUAAGAGGGAGACAAACUCUGAGUUGUGCAUCUACUCUUUCUGCUUCUGAGAAGAGCAUUGUUUUAACCCUUUACAAUGCAGACCUUCCAGCUUGACACUGAGCGCCUCUGCCAGGCAGCUAAGCUGUACCAGCACACCAAGUCUGACUUUGGCCUGAAUGGCAUGAUCCAGCUUUCUGGUUCAUGUAAUAAUAUGUCACUAUCUGUACUGGGAUCGAUUGGAGGCUGUGCUAUUCUGAGAUUGGAAUUGUUGGAGGCUGCCCGGCUCCAUUCAUCUAAAGACAGCUCCAAGUCUGCCAUUUACAGCUUUCGUAACGCAAGCUCCCUUGGAAGAGAAUUUACUCAUGGUGGAGAACUCUUUGGCCCCAAAAUGGAAUCUGCCUCCCUGUCUUUUUAUGGCCAUCAUGGAGUGAAAUAUGUGGAGGCACAAUUUGUGCAUGACAGCAGCAGCAAGACUGUACAUACUGCUGCUAUGCAGCCCAUCACCAUACCACCUUCGUGUGCCUUUGAUGAUCGUGAGGCCAAUGGUAUAGUGACAUUGUCAACAAAAACUGCAGCGGCGCUGGUCAAGUGGUUGAAGCAGCAUACAAAAACCUGCCAGUCACCAGUUAAGGUUUCUAUCAGUGAAAUCUUGGGUGUGAUGGUUCUUUCAGUUGGAGAUGCUAGCAUGACUGUUGAUGUCACUCCGGUGAAUGUUUCAUCUGGCAAGAAGACACGGGGUGGGAAUAAGGCUAGUGACUCUGGGACUAUCUCUGCAGACGCAACGGUGCAUGUUAAUGGACAUUGUUUGAUUAGAUCUUUGAUUGUAUGUAAAGUUCCUGGGUGUACAACUCCAAGAGUCAAGUUUCACGCCUGUGGCAUAUUAGAGGUAGAUGGGGCCCCCGUUAAACAGGGCGAGUUGACACAGGUAAAAUUGUCAGUGGCCCUCCUGAACGUGGACUCUUCAACUGGCAGAGUUUUGAAGGAACCUGUGGUGACUGGAGCAAGUAAAGAUCGAGGGGCUUCAAAGUCAGAAGACGCGGACGGUAGCCCUCCAGUACCAGAUCAUCCCAAAGAAUCCCUCACUAGCGACUCUGAUUCCUCAGUUCCUGGGCCACGAAGUACUGACCUUUCCUCUCUUACCCACACCCCUUCAGAUAGAUUUUCGAGCGACCUUAGAUCAGGGUGUGGGGGGCAACAGUUCCUCAAGAGACCACCCCCUAAGAAAGACAGGGAACCCACCACUAAGCGCCCCAAGCUACAUUUUAACCACUUCCCAUAAAUGAAGAGUCAUUGGUCAGACGUGUUCCUCCCACUCAUUGUGGGAGGAAUGUCUGCUGUUCCCUUUAUCUGGUGUUUAAUUUUUAGAACCCUUUACCUACCAAUAGAAUGUGACUGGAGAUGCUGGAUUUUUGUAUAUGGAUCAAUGAUUUGGCACAUAACCAUGUUUAUGUCACUAUUGUUUAAACAUAAACAUGGGAUGAUUGGCUGGUUUAAGUUGUGUAGUGCAGUUGCCAUAUGUCUGAUUAUAGUUUUGGCUCUUUUAGAACAAUACUGCCCAUAUGAGAUGUACAUUGUUCCUGUUAUAUUCAUAAUAAAUAUAGUUUUGCUUUCCA
Molecule: non-coding RNA, 2133 nt
Filed under: synthetic construct
Source: RNAcentral